CAUGUCUUUUAGAUUAUAGUUUAAAGUCGGGUCUGCUCAAUGAUUAUUAAAUAGCUGCAGUAUUUUGACUGUACAAAGGUAGCAUAAUCAAUAGUUUCUUAAUUAGGAGCUGGAAUGAAUGAUUUGAUAAAGUAAGUUUUGUCUCAAAUUUAAUAAGAUUAUAAUUUUUUUUCUAGUAAAAAUACUAGAAUUAUUUUAAAAGACGAGAAGACCCUAUAGAUUUUUACAAUUUAAUUUUUAAUAAAUUAAAACAUAAAUUGUUAUUAGGAUUUGAGUUGUUGGAUUGGGGAAAUUAUUAAAUUAAAUUAAUUUUAAUACUUCUUUAACAGAAAUUAUUGGACGAAUGAUUUUUUUUUAAAAGUUAAUAGAAUAAAUUACCUUAGGGAUAACAGCAUAAUUUUUUUGGAGAGAUCUUAUUGAUAAAAAAGUUUGUGACCUCGAUGUUGAAUUAAGAUAAAAUUUUAAUGGAGAAGUUAAAUAUUUUUGGUCUGUUCGACCAUUAAAAUCUUACGUGA
This 515-nucleotide ribosomal RNA is filed under the name Arhytis siamensis. Its description in RNAcentral is "partial 16S large subunit ribosomal RNA". The stretch from base 385 to 515 matches the Rfam family "Archaeal large subunit ribosomal RNA", at positions 2542 to 2672 of the family's 2987-position model. Lineage: Eukaryota; Metazoa; Arthropoda; Insecta; Hymenoptera; Ichneumonidae. The record is from RNAcentral.